AUGCGGACGGCAAAAUCUGUGCGGCGGAAGGGGCGGCGGAUGCAGGCCGAGAAGGGUCGCCGAGAGAGUCGGAGCACUCCAUUGGACAGAUCGAACCUAGAGCUCCGAAAACGAAGAAUGAGGGUAGGUGCUGCUCCGCCGGAAAAGACGCCAUGUCCUAAUCGGACUACUGCUCUGGAGAAGACUAUUUGUGGUUUUGCCGACAAUGCUGGGGACAAUGUCAUAGUGGCAACUUUGGGUGCAAGCUUUGAUUCUCUUGAUGAAGCCUACUACUUCUACACUUUUAUUCAUGGGAGAAAGGAUUUGACAUUAGAUACGUCAAGAGUAGGCUAA
RNAcentral lists this ribosomal RNA (333 nucleotides) under Triticum aestivum (bread wheat). RNAcentral describes it as "partial small subunit ribosomal RNA". The record is from RNAcentral. Lineage: Eukaryota; Viridiplantae; Streptophyta; Magnoliopsida; Poales; Poaceae.